AGUGAACGCUGGCGGCGUGCUUAACACAUGCAAGUCGAACGAUGAAGUCCUUCGGGAUGGAUUAGUGGCGCACGGGUGAGUAAUAUAUAGGUAAUGUGCCUCUUAGUCUGGGAUAGCCACUGGAAACGGUGAUUAAUACCGGAUACUCCUUCUGAUCUUAAGGUCAGUCGGGAAAGUUUUUCGCUAAGAGAUCGGCCUAUAUCCUAUCAGUUAGUUGGUGAGGUAACGGCUCACCAAGGCGAUGACAGGUAGCGGGUUUGAGAGGAUGAUCCGCCACACUGGUACUGAGACACGGACCAGACUCCUACGGGAGGCAGCAGUGAGGAAUAUUGCACAAUGGGGGAAACCCUGAUGCAGCAACGCCGCGUGGAGGAUGACGCAUUUCGGUGUGUAAACUCCUUUUAUAUGUCAAGAAAAUGACGGUAGCAUAUGAAUAAGCACCGGCUAACUCCGU
RNAcentral lists this ribosomal RNA (454 nucleotides) under uncultured Campylobacterota bacterium. RNAcentral describes it as "bacterial SSU rRNA". It matches the Rfam family "Bacterial small subunit ribosomal RNA", at positions 29 to 506 of the family's 1533-position model. Lineage: Bacteria; Pseudomonadati; Campylobacterota. The record is from RNAcentral.